This 807-nucleotide ribosomal RNA is filed under the name Actinomycetes bacterium. RNAcentral's name for it is "bacterial SSU rRNA". It matches the Rfam family "Bacterial small subunit ribosomal RNA", at positions 73 to 892 of the family's 1533-position model. The record is from RNAcentral. Lineage: Bacteria; Bacillati; Actinomycetota; Actinomycetes.
ACCACCUUCGGGUGGGGAUUAGUGGCGAACGGGUGAGUAACACGUGGGCAAUCUGCCCUGCACUCUGGGACAAGCCCUGGAAACGGGGUCUAAUACCGGAUACUGACCUGCCAAGGCAUCUUGGCGGGUCGAAAGCUCCGGCGGUGCAGGAUGAGCCCGCGGCCUAUCAGCUUGUUGGUGAGGUAAUGGCUCACCAAGGCGACGACGGGUAGCCGGCCUGAGAGGGCGACCGGCCACACUGGGACUGAGACACGGCCCAGACUCCUACGGGAGGCAGCAGUGGGGAAUAUUGCACAAUGGGCGAAAGCCUGAUGCAGCGACGCCGCGUGAGGGAUGACGGCCUUCGGGUUGUAAACCUCUUUCAGCAGGGAAGAAGCGAAAGUGACGGUACCUGCAGAAGAAGCGCCGGCUAACUACGUGCCAGCAGCCGCGGUAAUACGUAGGGCGCAAGCGUUGUCCGGAAUUAUUGGGCGUAAAGAGCUCGUAGGCGGCUUGUCGCGUCGGUUGUGAAAGCCCGGGGCUUAACCCCGGGUCUGCAGUCGAUACGGGCAGGCUAGAGUUCGGUAGGGGAGAUCGGAAUUCCUGGUGUAGCGGUGAAAUGCGCAGAUAUCAGGAGGAACACCGGUGGCGAAGGCGGAUCUCUGGGCCGAUACUGACGCUGAGGAGCGAAAGCGUGGGGAGCGAACAGGAUUAGAUACCCUGGUAGUCCACGCCGUAAACGGUGGGCACUAGGUGUGGGCAACAUUCCACGUUGUCCGUGCCGCAGCUAACGCAUUAAGUGCCCCGCCUGGGGAGUACGGCCGCAAG